Molecule: ribosomal RNA, 254 nt
Filed under: uncultured prokaryote
Description: partial 16S ribosomal RNA
Rfam family: Bacterial small subunit ribosomal RNA
Source: RNAcentral
AUACGGAGGGUGCAAGCGUUAUCCGGAUUCACUGGGUUUAAAGGGUGCGUAGGUGGGCAAGUAAGUCAGUGGUGAAAUCUCCGGGCUUAACCCGGAAACUGCCAUUGAUACUAUUUGUCUUGAAUACCGUGGAGGUCAGCGGAAUAUGUCAUGUAGCGGUGAAAUGCUUAGAUAUGACAUAGAACACCAAUUGCGAAGGCAGCUGGCUACACGAAUAUUGACACUGAGGCACGAAAGCGUGGGGAUCAAACAGG